GGGGGUGUAGCUCAGUGGUAGGACGCUUGCCUGUCAUGCAUGAGACCCUGGGUUCUGUCCCCAGCACCACAA
Molecule: transfer RNA, 72 nt
Filed under: Ictidomys tridecemlineatus (thirteen-lined ground squirrel)
Lineage: Eukaryota; Metazoa; Chordata; Mammalia; Rodentia; Sciuridae
Description: Spermophilus tridecemlineatus (thirteen-lined ground squirrel) tRNA
Rfam family: tRNA
About the family: Transfer RNA (tRNA) molecules are approximately 80 nucleotides in length. Their secondary structure includes four short double-helical elements and three loops (D, anti-codon, and T loops). Further hydrogen bonds mediate the characteristic L-shaped molecular structure. tRNAs have two regions of fundamental functional importance: the anti-codon, which is responsible for specific mRNA codon recognition, and the 3' end, to which the tRNAs corresponding amino acid is attached (by aminoacyl-tRNA synthetases). tRNAs cope with the degeneracy of the genetic code in two manners: having more than one tRNA (with a specific anti-codon) for a particular amino acid; and 'wobble' base-pairing, i.e. permitting non-standard base-pairing at the 3rd anti-codon position.
Source: Rfam by way of RNAcentral